GGAGCCUGAGAGGCUCAGCUCUGCAGGAAGAGGGGAAGGAGGAAGACUGCGGGAGUCUGGUGACGGAAGGCGGUCAGAGCUAACAGCACCGGAUAUUAUCAGAAUUUACCGAGUAUCCUUUGAGAACUGGAAGCAGCUACACUCCAUGCAUUCAGUCUCCUGAUUCUCGGUGAAGAACAAGAGGAUCCAGUAUUGUGUAGAGGUCCUUCUUUGUCAUCUGAUGAUGGGAUGAUGGCUGUUUUGGUGAUGACUUUCCAAAACUGUGUUAGUACUUGAGGUCAAAACUCUGAAUUUCCAUCCUGAAUGGUAAAGAGAUCGUCAGGGCUAUACUUCUGUUUAAGUCAUCUGUACUCAACACUGAAAAUGAGACACGGUAUUCACAUCACUUCACUUGUAUUUGCUAGACAGAGGAGCCUGGCGGGACUACAGUUCAUGGGAUCACGAAAAAGUCGGACAUGACUUGGCGACUAAAACAAUAACAAUUUGUAUUUACUAGUAUAUUUCUAUUACUAAAUAUCACUAUACUCAUAUGAUUUACCUUCAUAGAAUGACGAUCAGAAAGACAAGAACAAUCAGGAAAGUUAUAGUAUCAGGAUGACCUAUCUUCCCAUAUGGUGGACACAAAUUGAUGUUUUAGAUUAAUAUAUGCAAAAAACAAUCUAUUUGCUUUGGAAAAUGGUCAGUAGACAUCAUUCUCUACUCCCUUAAAACCUUGAGCAUUUAACUUAAAAAAUACAUUUCUUUUACUUACAAAAAAACAUUUGAUUCUAAAACAUUUGUCAAUAAAGGAGUUUCUUAAUAGCA
RNAcentral lists this long non-coding RNA (804 nucleotides) under Bos indicus x Bos taurus (hybrid cattle). RNAcentral's name for it is "lncRNA (ENSBIXG00005021857.1)". The record is from RNAcentral. Lineage: Eukaryota; Metazoa; Chordata; Mammalia; Artiodactyla; Bovidae.